Molecule: ribosomal RNA, 488 nt
Filed under: uncultured bacterium
Lineage: Bacteria
Description: partial 16S ribosomal RNA
Rfam family: Bacterial small subunit ribosomal RNA
Source: RNAcentral
GACGAACGCUGGCGGCGUGCUUAACACAUGCCAGUCGAACGGAAAGGCCCUGCUUUUGUGGGGUGCUCGAGUGGCGAACGGGUGAGUAAAACGUGAGUAACCUGCACUUGACUUUGGGAUAAAUUCAGGAAACUGGGGCGAAUACCGGAUAGGAGCUCCUGCUGCAUGGGGGGGGUUGGUAAGAUUCGGCGGUUGGGGAUGGACUCGCGGCGUAUCAGCCUGUUGGUGGGGUAGUGGCUUACCAAGGCUUGGACGGGUAGCCGGCGUGAGAGGGUGACGGGCGGCAUGGGAGGGGAGACAGCGACAUGGGGACUGAGAGAGGGCGCAGACUCCUACGGGAGGCAGCGGGGGGGAAUAUUGCACAAUGGGCGGGAGCCUGAUGUAGCGACGCCGGGUGCGGGAUGACGGCCUUCUGGUUGUAAACCGCUUUCGCCUGUGACGAAGCGUGAGUGACGGUACUGGGUCAAGAAGCACCGGCUAACUACGUG